Long non-coding RNA from Physella acuta, 343 nucleotides. RefSeq lists it as uncharacterized. NCBI's taxonomy places the organism in Eukaryota, Metazoa, Mollusca, Gastropoda, Physidae. The record is from RefSeq and is a predicted model, not a curated record.
GCGACAGAUUCUCCAUAGACUGUAACCAAUGCAUGUGCCGACUACCUGGUAUUGCGUGUACCCGCAAGGAAUGUCCAGGGAAUCCACAGGGCUGUUACCACGACGGGAAGUUCUAUCGGCUCGGAGAUUUGAUGCCUUCACCUGAUUGCAACAGCUGUUUCUGUGACGGCAGAGCUCGGGACUGUGGUAGGAGGGUGUGUCCAAGAGAUGACGAAAACUAGACAGGACACGAUGUCGCUUAGCUCCUCUUUACCUCGUGUCUCGGAUAACAAGCGCUGCUACUGAACAGAAAAAAAAUGUAAAAUAAUUCAAUUACAUCACGUGUCUAAAUAGAAUUGUUUUA